AUAUUCUGAUCAGUGGUAGAGUGCUUGCCUGGUAUGCAUGAGGAUCUGGGUUCAAUUCCCUGCACCACAUA
This 71-nucleotide transfer RNA is filed under the name Marmota monax (woodchuck). RNAcentral's name for it is "tRNA.Thr". The stretch from base 8 to 62 matches the Rfam family "tRNA", at positions 10 to 63 of the family's 71-position model. Rfam says of the family: Transfer RNA (tRNA) molecules are approximately 80 nucleotides in length. The record is from RNAcentral. Lineage: Eukaryota; Metazoa; Chordata; Mammalia; Rodentia; Sciuridae.